GCAAUACCUCACCGGCGAACGGGUGCGUAACACGUGAGCAACCUACCGAGUUCUGGGGGAUAGCCGGCCCAACGGCCGGGUAAUACCGCAUACGCUUCUCGCGGGGAGUCUCGUGAGAAGGAAACCUCCGGGGGAAUUCGAGGGGCUCGCGGCCUAUCAGCUAGUUGGCGGGGUAAUGGCCCACCAAGGCGAUGACGGGUAGCUGGUCUGAGAGGAUGGCCAGCCACAUUGGGACUGAGAGACGGCCCAGACUCCUACGGGAGGCAGCAGUGGGGAAUCUUGCGCAAUGGUCGAAAGACUGACGCAGCGACGCCGCGUGCGGGAGGAAGCUCUUCGGGGUGUAAACCGCUGUUGCCCGGAACGAAACGCCUUUUUCGAGAGGCUUGACGGUACCGGGUGAGGAAGCGCCGGCUAACUCUGUGCCAGCAGCCGCGGUAAUACAGAGGGCGCGAGCGUUGUCCGGAAUCACUGGGCGUAAAGGGCGCGUAGGUGGCGGCAUAAGGCUGUGGUGAAAGUCUGGGGCUCAACUCCAGAUCGGCCGCGGCGACUGUGCCGCUUGGGCACCGUAGAGGCAGAUGGAAUUCCGGGUGUAGCGGUGGAAUGCGUAGAGAUCCGGAAGAACACCAGUGGCGAAGGCGGUCUGCUGGGCGGUGAGCUCGCGAGAGCUCAAUAGCCGACAC
Molecule: ribosomal RNA, 680 nt
Filed under: uncultured bacterium
Lineage: Bacteria
Description: bacterial SSU rRNA
Rfam family: Bacterial small subunit ribosomal RNA
Source: RNAcentral